This 272-nucleotide ribosomal RNA is filed under the name Escherichia coli. RNAcentral describes it as "partial 16S ribosomal RNA". It matches the Rfam family "Bacterial small subunit ribosomal RNA", at positions 1 to 269 of the family's 1533-position model. Lineage: Bacteria; Pseudomonadati; Pseudomonadota; Gammaproteobacteria; Enterobacterales; Enterobacteriaceae. RNAcentral also lists the same sequence under 1 other name. The record is from RNAcentral.
AAAUUGAAGAGUUUGAUCAUGGCUCAGAUUGAACGCUGGCGGCAGGCCUAACACAUGCAAGUCGAACGGUAACAGGAAACAGCUUGCUGUUUCGCUGACGAGUGGCGGACGGGUGAGUAAUGUCUGGGAAACUGCCCGAUGGAGGGGGAUAACUACUGGAAACGGUAGCUAAUACCGCAUAACGUCGCAAGACCAAAGAGGGGGACCUUCGGGCCUCUUGCUAUCGGAUGUGCCCAGAUGGGAUUAGCUAGUAGGUGGGGUAACGGCUCACC